This 754-nucleotide ribosomal RNA is filed under the name uncultured cyanobacterium. RNAcentral describes it as "bacterial SSU rRNA". It matches the Rfam family "Bacterial small subunit ribosomal RNA", at positions 28 to 829 of the family's 1533-position model. Lineage: Bacteria; Bacillati; Cyanobacteriota. The record is from RNAcentral.
GAUGAACGCUGGCGGUCUGCUUAACACAUGCAAGUCGAACGGGCUCUUCGGAGCUAGUGGCGGACGGGUGAGUAACGCGUGAGGAUCUGCCCUUAGGACGGGACAACAGCUGGAAACGGCUGCUAAUACCCGAUGUGCCGAGAGGUGAAACUAUUUGGCCUGAGGAUGAGCUCGCGUCUGAUUAGCUAGUUGGAGUGGUAACGGCACACCAAGGCGACGAUCAGUAGCUGGUCUGAGAGGAUGAUCAGCCACACUGGGACUGAGACACGGCCCAGACUCCUACGGGAGGCAGCAGUGGGGAAUUUUCCGCAAUGGGCGAAAGCCUGACGGAGCAAGACCGCGUGCGGGAGGAAGGUCUAUUGAUUGUAAACCGCUUUUGAUAGGGAAGAAGAUCUGACGGUACCUAUCGAAUCAGCAUCGGCUAACUCCGUGCCAGCAGCCGCGGUAAUACGGGGGAUGCAAGCGUUAUCCGGAAUUAUUGGGCGUAAAGCGUCCGUAGGUGGUUUUAAAAGUCUGUUGUCAAAUCGCGAGGCUUAACCUCGUACAGGCAGUGGAAACUAUAAGACUAGAGUGCGGUAGGGGUAGAGGGAAUUUCCAGUGUAGCGGUGAAAUGCGUAGAUAUUGGAAAGAACACCGGUGGCGAAGGCGCUCUACUGGGCCUGCACUGACACUGAGGGACGAAAGCUAGGGGAGCGAAAGGGAUUAGAUACCCCUGUAGUCCUAGCCGUAAACGAUGGAAACUAGGUGUUGCCCG